Molecule: ribosomal RNA, 417 nt
Filed under: uncultured Sinomonas sp.
Lineage: Bacteria; Bacillati; Actinomycetota; Actinomycetes; Micrococcales; Micrococcaceae
Description: bacterial SSU rRNA
Rfam family: Bacterial small subunit ribosomal RNA
Source: RNAcentral
UGGGGAAUAUUGCACAAUGGGCGCAAGCCUGAUGCAGCGACGCCGCGUGGGGGAUGACGGCCUUCGGGUUGUAAACCCCUUUCGGCGGGGAAGCAAGCCCCUUGGGGCUGGAGGGUACCCGCGGAAGAAGCGCCGGCUAACUACGUGCCAGCAGCCGCGGUAAUACGUAGGGCGCGAGCGUUAUCCGGAAUUAUUGGGCGUAAAGAGCUCGUAGGCGGUUUGUCGCGUCUGCUGUGAAAGCCCGGGGCUCAACCCCGGGUGCUGCAGUGGGUACGGGCAGGCUGGAGUGCAGUAGGGGAGACUGGAAUUCCUGGUGUAGCGGUGAAAUGCGCAGAUAUCAGGAGGAACACCGAUGGCGAAGGCAGGUCUUCUUGGGCUGUAACUGACGCUGAGGAGCGAAAGCGUGGGGAGCGAACA